RNAcentral lists this unclassified non-coding RNA (177 nucleotides) under Glomus indicum. Its description in RNAcentral is "partial internal transcribed spacer region". The stretch from base 1 to 46 matches the Rfam family "Eukaryotic small subunit ribosomal RNA", at positions 1786 to 1831 of the family's 1831-position model. RNAcentral also lists the same sequence under 2 other names. The record is from RNAcentral. Lineage: Eukaryota; Fungi; Glomeromycota; Glomeromycetes; Glomerales; Glomeraceae.
AAGUCGUAACAAGGUUUCCGUAGGUGAACCUGCGGAAGGAUCAUUACCAAUAUAGCGAACCGAGCGUUAGCGAGGCUUCGCGAUCAAUUUGUAUUUAAAACCCAACUCUUUAAAUGUAUAUUAUUAUUGUAUUUUAAAUAAUAAAGAUCACUUUCAACAACGGAUCUCUUGGCUCUC